AUUGAACGCUGGCGGAAUGCUUUACACAUGCAAGUCGAACGGUAGAGGGGGCAACCCCUCGAGAGUGGCGAACGGGUGAGUAAUAUAUCGGAACGUGCCCAGUCGUGGGGGAUAACGUAGCGAAAGUUACGCUAAUACCGCAUACGAUCUAAGGAUGAAAGCGGGGGAUCGAAAGACCUCGCGCGAUUGGAGCGGCCGAUAUCAGAUUAGGUAGUUGGUGGGGUAAAGGCUCACCAAGCCAACGAUCUGUAGCUGGUCUGAGGGGACGACCAGCCACACUGGAACUGAGACACGGUCCAGACUCCUACGGGAGGCAGCAGUGGGGAAUUUUGGACAAUGGACGCAAGUCUGAUCCAGCCAUUCCGCGUGCAGGAUGAAGGCCCUCGGGUUGUAAACUGCUUUUGUACGGAACGAAAAGGUCUCUCUUAAUACGGGGGACUCAUGACGGUACCGUAAGAAUAAGCACCGGCUAACUACGUGCCAGCCGCCGCGGUAA
RNAcentral lists this ribosomal RNA (496 nucleotides) under uncultured bacterium. RNAcentral's name for it is "partial 16S ribosomal RNA". It matches the Rfam family "Bacterial small subunit ribosomal RNA", at positions 30 to 523 of the family's 1533-position model. The record is from RNAcentral.